Molecule: non-coding RNA, 69 nt
Organism: Rattus norvegicus (Norway rat)
Lineage: Eukaryota; Metazoa; Chordata; Mammalia; Rodentia; Muridae
Source: Rfam
GGGGAUUUAGCUCAGUGGUAGAGCGCUUGCCUAGCAAGCGCAAGGCCCUGGGUUCAAUCCCCAGCUCCG